GGUAGUGUAGUUAACACCUGCAUUAUUUGACGUUACCUACACGAAGAAGCACCGGCUAACUCCGUGCCAGCAGCCGCGGUAAUACGGAGGGGUGCGAGCGUUAAUCGGAAUUACUGGGCGUAAAGCGCAUGCAGGCGGCCUGUUAAGUCAGAUGUGAAAGCCCGGGGCUUAACCUCGGAAUUGCAUUUGAAACUGGCAGGCUAGAGUCUUGUAGAGGGGGGUAGGAAUUUCAGGUGUAGCGGUGAAAUGCGUAGAGAUCUGAAGGAAUACCAGUGGCGAAGGCGGCCCCCUGGACAAAGACUGACGCUCAGAUGCGAAAGCGUGGGGAGCAAACAGGAUUAGAUACCCCUGGUAG
Molecule: ribosomal RNA, 355 nt
Filed under: uncultured bacterium
Lineage: Bacteria
Description: bacterial SSU rRNA
Rfam family: Bacterial small subunit ribosomal RNA
Source: RNAcentral